GACGAACGCUGGCGGCGUGCUUAACACAUGCAAGUCGAACGGAAAGGCCCUGCUUUUGUGGGGUGCUCGAGUGGCGAACGGGUGAGUAACACGUGAGUAACCUGCCCUUGACUUUGGGAUAACUUCAGGAAACUGGGGCUAAUACCGGAUAGGAGCUCCUGCUGCAUGGUGGGGGUUGGAAAGUUUCGGCGGUUGGGGAUGGACUCGCGGCUUAUCAGCUUGUUGGUGGGGUAGUGGCUUACCAAGGCUUUGACGGGUAGCCGGCCUGAGAGGGUGACCGGCCACAUUGGGACUGAGAUACGGCCCAGACUCCUACGGGAGGCAGCAGUGGGGAAUAUUGCACAAUGGGCGGAAGCCUGAUGCAGCAACGCCGCGUGCGGGAUGACAGCCUUCGGGUUGUAAACCGCUUUCGCCUGUGGCGAAGCGUGAGUGACGGUAAUGGGUAAAGAAGCACCGGCUAACUACGUG
This 468-nucleotide ribosomal RNA is filed under the name uncultured bacterium. Its description in RNAcentral is "partial 16S ribosomal RNA". It matches the Rfam family "Bacterial small subunit ribosomal RNA", at positions 28 to 507 of the family's 1533-position model. The record is from RNAcentral.